CGAAAGUAGACAAAGCCACUAGUUCGAAUGGUCCGUUCAUUUUCGUGAGUGUCAAGAAUAGAAGCUUUCGAAGAGUCGAAGCUUGAAGGUUAGGGUUCAGCGCCUCUGCACCUCCAUCGCUCCAUCCUCAGUCUCACCGGCAGAUGGCGGUAUUUCGUUUGAAACUUUGGACGAACUCCGGCCGUAGUGCCCUUUCUCCGAUGAUCUUCCUUUUGCCCUCUCACUUUCUCCAACAAUAGAGCUUCUUCUUCUCUCAGCGCCUCCUCACCUUCUCUAGUGACAGCAGUACAACACUCUCUCUUAUCCCAAUGCCCUCUCACUUUCUCCAGCGGCAACAACACUCCCUCUUCACUCAAGAAAUCAUAUUUUGGUGAUUUUUUUCUCUUGCAUCUUGCUCUCAAGUGAUAGUCUCCUCUGACCUCUACGAUUUGUUCAUUGAGGUAUUUUCUCAACCUCUAUUCAGGUUUGUGGAAAACAAUGCAUCACCCACUGGCUGGCAAAUGGAUCCAUAACAUCGGAACAUGCCGUAAGAAUUCCUUUAUAUGGAAAAUAUUACAUCAACUUCUUUCGGGUGGUUUGGAGAACGGUUUAUGUGGUUUCAGAAUUUUUAUUCUCUGGUUGCAUUUGUUCAUCCAUCCUCUUGAUGGUACUUGAUCAAAUGGCUAAGUUGGUGAAGUCCACCAAGUGUUGCACUAGGAAUAUGGUCAUGCUAAUAUGAACAAUUUCUUUAGGAAAUGAUAUUUUUUUGGUGUUUGAUUGCAGAUGGAGAUGGGAACCAUUUUGUUUAUUUUCCGAGGAAUUAGGGAAAUAAUUAAUUCCUUAUUGAGUAUUAUUUUCGGAGGAAAACAUUUUGUUUCCCUUCAUCAUUUUAGUUGUAACCAAAACUGGAAUAGUGUAACUCAUUGUUUGCUGAUUCAGAAAGGAGAAUUUUCUCAGUGAAGUAAUUCACAAUCAUCUUCUACUCGUUGAAAUUGAUUCUAAAUCAGCAUAUGUAUCUAUUUAAGUGUUUUUUAAUUACCACUAGUUACUAUCAAAUUUCAGUUUUUGUUAUCUUUUUGAAUGAUAGUGUGUAGUGUCCACCAAAACUACAUUCACAUAACCAUACAUCAAUUAUUCAUAUGCAUGUAUCAUGCAUUCUUAUGAUUCAGAACUUACCAAAUGUAUGGCCCUUGGUAAAGUAGAAUAGCAAAAUAGGAUUCAUGUGGUGGAUGGCAUUUAUCUGGGAUAAUGUUUAGUUUUAAUUGUUCGAACAUUUUCAUUAUAUUAUGAUUUACAGUUUUUCAUUUAGUGUUUUCAAAUUCCAUUCUGCAUCUGGAGUCAAUAAAUUGAUCAGUCAUUCCCUGGAGCAGAUUAUUGGCCCUUGCUUCAUGCUUCCCAUUGACAACAUUUUGGAUCUUUUUGUUCCUUCCUAUAAGAAGUUUGCUUUCCAUUAAAGGGUUCUCCUCAUCAUAUCAUUCAUUAACAAAUUUCAUUUUACUUGUUUUUGGAUCUAUAAUGUGGCUUUGGCCCCCAUUGGGGRUAUUGCUAGACCUGUAACUAGCAGGUUAGUGUUAGCAAGAACUCAAGUGGGGAUAUUGUAGGGUGCACAUUAGGUCCACCGGCCAUACCAUGGAGAGCUUGCAAUUUUGUAGGGUCAAUCCCAUGCUUCCAUUUGGGGAGUGAUGCCCAGUGACCACCUCAAAAUGAAUUGUUUUUCAAUCUUUAAUAUGCCGGAAGACCUUUCAUUUAAUCUUUAAUAUGCCCAAUGACCACCUCAAAAUGUUGGGAAAGGAUAAGAAAAUGAGGGCAUUUGAGUGAAGUUGUAAUGUCAUGAGAAGAAAAUUCGUGUUUCAUUUAAUUUAUAAAGUUUCAUUUAAUUUGGAUUGGAUUGGGUCCAAUCUGGUCCAUUUGCAUUUCAAUUGGAUUGGAUUGAAUCUGGUUUGUAUGGGGUUUGGACCGGAAUCGGUCCAGUCCAUUUGUAAAUUGACCAAUGUUGGACUGGAUCAGAUUGGACCAAAUCUAGUCCAAUUGACAGCCCUAAUUUUUGGUGGUCGCGACUCUCUCUCCUUAUAAUGCCAUAGUAGGUCGAUCCAUUACGCACGUCCUACGUGCAAUAGUAUCCACCUAAUAUCUGGCGAUGAAGUUUUCAACUAACCAUGGAGUAGGAGUUAUGCGAGGUGAUCAGUUCGAAUCUCGUAAAUGCUAUGUAGUUGCUCUCAAAGGGAAAGCGAAGCCAGCGGAUGAUGUCGAGCUUGAGCAGUCAGCGGAAUAUGCUGACGAGAGAGCUGCCCGACAGAGGAGAUGGUCCACAUCCCGGUCUUAGCUGAUGACCCGACCAAGACUCUCCAGAUCGGGGCCUCGAUCAAUGAACCACUCCGCUUCCAACUAUCAGGCCAGUAAGACAGAAGAAGCGCAACCUCACCUCGGAACGUUGGAGGGUAGUUGAUGAAGAGGUCGGGAAGAUCCUAGCGGCAAACUAAAUCAGAGAAGUCCAUUACUCGAGCUGGGUGGCUAACCCAGUUCUGGUAAAAAAGGCCAAUGGCAAGUGGUGCAUGUGCGUYGAUUACACCAACCUGAAUAGAGCCUACCUGAAAUAUUGCUUCCUUCUACCCAAGAUUGACCGCCUAGUGGAUGCAACCUCAGGGCAUGAGUUGCUGAGCUUCCUGGAUGCCUAUUCCGGUUACAACCAAAAUAGGAUGGACCCUGCCGAUGAAGAGAAAACUGCUUUUAUAACUGAGUUCGGGAUGUACUAUUACAAGG
Molecule: non-coding RNA, 2739 nt
Organism: Nelumbo nucifera (sacred lotus)
Lineage: Eukaryota; Viridiplantae; Streptophyta; Magnoliopsida; Proteales; Nelumbonaceae
Source: RefSeq, a predicted model, not a curated record